AAACAUUUUGUUCAAGUUUUGGGAGGGGUUGCAAAGGGUUUAGGGUUGAGGCAUUUAUCGUGUCCAAAUAUAUAAACUCAAAUUAUUUACACAUUUAUUGUGUCCGGUAUCUCGUAUUUUGCCUAUUUCUUUAUUUUUAUUUUUCAAACCAAGCAAAAAAAAACACGUAAGAAAAGGACUACAAUAAAUAUGAAAAUCACAUCUUAUACAUGAAAACCGAUGCCUAUAUCCCUCGGAUAUUUUUUGAAAAUUUGGAUUUUUCUUGGUGGGUUUGCAUAUAAACAUUGGCUAAUUGUCACUUUCUUAUAUCCUUAUCCCUAUCCAGCAAGCACAGUGCUGGUGCGCCAGUCAAUUCUGAUUGCUAAGCCAGCCAUGUCAUCUGUUGCAUGCAGCCACAACAGAGGGAGGACAAGGCAAACGUUAACAUCUUUCUGACAUGGAAAGAAAGACAUGCACAUUAUUAUUGUCAUGCCUCCAAGUCCAUCAUUUAUUUUAUUUUAUUUUAUUUUAUUUUUUAUUUCCUCAGAAGGAACAUCAAUAAUUUUGAUGCAAAUUUAUUUAUUAAUUUUUUGAAAAUAUUAUUAUGAGCGCACAAUUUAUUGUGCACCAUUUUGGUUGGAAAAGAUAUGAGAUGUACAAACGCAUCCGCUAACUAUGAUAGUUACAAAAAUUUUAGGGUUGGG
RNAcentral lists this long non-coding RNA (683 nucleotides) under Prunus persica (peach). Its description in RNAcentral is "long non-coding RNA (PPER_LNC007232)". Lineage: Eukaryota; Viridiplantae; Streptophyta; Magnoliopsida; Rosales; Rosaceae. The record is from RNAcentral.